Molecule: ribosomal RNA, 535 nt
Filed under: uncultured bacterium
Lineage: Bacteria
Description: bacterial SSU rRNA
Rfam family: Bacterial small subunit ribosomal RNA
Source: RNAcentral
AGUAUCCCACCUGGGGAGUACGCCGGCAACGGUGAAACUCAAAGGAAUUGACGGGGGCCCGCACAAGCGGAGGAACAUGUGGUUUAAUUCGAUGAUACGCGAGGAACCUUACCCGGGCUUGAAUUGCGACUGACUGCAUCAGAGAUGAUGUUUCCAGCGAUGGCAGUCGUGAAGGUGCUGCAUGGUUGUCGUCAGCUCGUGCCGUGAGGUGUCGGCUUAAGUGCCAUAACGAGCGCAACCCUUUUCCCUGUUUGCCAUCGGGUAAUGCCGGGCACUCCAGGGAUACUGCCAUCGUAAGAUGUGAGGAAGGUGGGGAUGACGUCAAAUCAGCACGGCCCUUACGUCCGGGGCUACACACGUGUUACAAUGGGCGGCACAGAGGGCAGCGACCGCGCGAGCGGCAGCCAAUCCCGAAAUCCGCUCUCAGUUCGGACUGGAGUCUGCAACCCGACUCCACGAAGCUGGAUUCGCUAGUAAUCGCGCAUCAGCCAUGGCGCGGUGAAUACGUUCCCGGGCCUUGUACACACCGCCCGUC